RNAcentral lists this ribosomal RNA (406 nucleotides) under uncultured bacterium. RNAcentral describes it as "partial 16S ribosomal RNA". It matches the Rfam family "Bacterial small subunit ribosomal RNA", at positions 29 to 526 of the family's 1533-position model. The record is from RNAcentral.
AUUGAACGCUGGCGGCAGGCCUAACACAUGCAAGUCGAGCGAGCGGCGGACGGGUGAGUAAUGUCUGGGAAACUGCCUGAUGGCGGGGGAUAACUACUGGAAACGGUAGCUAAUACCGCAUACCAUCAGAUGUGCCCAGAUGGGAUUAGCUAGUAGGUGGGGUAACGGCUCACCUAGGCGACGAGCCCUAGCUGGUCUGAGAGGAUGACCAGCCACACUGGGACUGAGACACGGGCCAGACGCCUACGGGAGGCAGCAGUGGGGAAUAUUGCACAAUGGGCGCAAGCCUGAUGCAGCCAUGCCGCGUGUGUGAAGAAGGCCUUCGGGUUGUAAAGCACGUUCAGCGGGGAGGCGUUACCCGCAGAAGAAGCACCGGCUAACUCCGUGCCAGCAGCCGCGGUAAUUC